AUGAAGCAUCUCACAGGUUGGAUUUCUAAGUGGCAGAUGGCUUGCCAAUGCUGCCACCUUCUGGAUGGCAUUGUGCAUUGCACCACGCAAGGAAGAACCAAGCAGAUGAGGGCAGUGGGAAGCAUCAAAACAAGAUCAAAAGGAGAGGAGGGACCCAACCUGGCGCAUCUCCUCCGUCAGUGCCAUUCCUAGGAGGACGCUAGCUCUGUCCAUAAAUGAAGGUCACAUCUUCCAUCGAAGGCCUUUUACUAAAUCAUCUUGUUCUCUAGAAAAGCGAUAAACUUCCUACUUCUGUCAUUAAGAGCCUGAGCCAUAUGUGGAUAACAGUCCCACUGGAAUGAGAAAUGCCCGAUACGCUCAUGAAUCAGAAGGCGUGCUCCCUAGCUGAUGCUAACCCCACACAAGCUAGAGUCAUCAGAGAGGAGGAGACCCUGACUGAGAAAAUGCCUUCAUGAGGUCUGGCUAUAAGCAAGUUUGUGGAGAAUUUUCUUAAUUAGUGAUUAAUGGCGGAGGGCCCAGCCUAUUAUGGGUUCUGUGAGAAAGCAGGCUGAACAAGCCAGUAAGCAGCACCCCUCCAUGGCCUCUGUAUCAGCUCCUGCCUCCAGGUUCCUGCCCUGUUUGAGUUCUUGGCCUCACUCACUGUUUUUGAUUUAAAAAAAUAUAUAUCUAUUCAUUUACCUUAUGUAUACGAGUACACUGUAGCUGUUUUCAGACACACCAUAAGAGGGCAUCAGAUCCUAUUACAAAUGGUUGUGAGCCACCAUGUGGUUGCAUGGGGUUGAUCUCAGAACCUCUGGAAGAGCAGUCAGUACUGUUAACCGCUGAACUAUCUCUCCAGCCCCUGAAACUUCUUUUUCAAUCAUUAUUUUAUGUAUGAAUGUUUUGCCCACGCCUGAGGAGACUAGAGGGGGAUGCUGGAUUCCCUGCAAAUGAAGAUACAGAUGGUAGUCAACUGCCACGUGGAUGCUAGGAAUUGAGCAUAGGUCCUCCAGGAGAGCAGCCAGUGCUGGUCACUGCUGAGCCAUCUCUCCAGCCCCACCUCUUCCUUUAAUUUUUUUUUUUUUUUGACUGUAUGACUGGAGAGGAUUUUAUGGUACCUGCACAUCUCAUUUUCUUUAUUGUUACUGUUAUUGUUCUGUUGUUAACAAUGAUUCAAUGAGGUCUGGUGAGAUGGCUCAGCGGGUAAGAACACUCACUGACUGCUCUUCUGAAGGUCCUGAGUUCAAAUCCCAGCAACCACAUGGUGGCUCACAACCAUGCUUAAUGAGAUGUGAUGCCCUCUUCUGGUGCAUCUGAAGACAGCUACAGUGUAGUUAUGUACAAUAAUAAAUAAAUCUUUGGGCCGGCA
This 1348-nucleotide long non-coding RNA is filed under the name Mus spicilegus (steppe mouse). RNAcentral describes it as "lncRNA (ENSMSIG00000027034.1)". Lineage: Eukaryota; Metazoa; Chordata; Mammalia; Rodentia; Muridae. The record is from RNAcentral.